GACAGUGAUAGAUAAGGACAUACAGCCAGAGGAAACAGUCAUACAACGCCUUAACAAGAUGUCUAGUGGUCCCUUCUCCUGCUUCUCCAAACAGGAAAUAUUCCUUCUCCAACCUCCACUAUGGUUCUUGUUGCAACAGAAUAUUCUGGUGAGUACACCUGUCUUUCAACGACAUUCCUUAUCAUACAGUAAAAUAUAAUCUGUGUGUUUCAUGAGUAUCUCUCUCCCUGUAGGCCCCACCAGCCCCAGAUGACCAACCUGGACCCCCAACAGGACCAACGAUCUACCCAGGGCCGAGCUCCUGAUGCUGGGUAUACAUGUCUGCAGCAUGGUGGCACCAACCUCUAUGAUACAAUCACUUCCUCAGACAAUAAUGACAGUGAUGCUGGUGCUGCUACUGCUGGAUCAAGUGAUGUGAUGUACGCCCAGAUUCAACUCAAAAAGUUGGGCAAGAAAAAGAAAAAAACCCCACAUCAGGCAGAUUCGGUCUAUUCUCAAGUGAAUCCAGUCACAGCCCCAAGUCCUUGAGGGAUGGAGGGAGGGAAGGAUAGAGAGAAGGAUGGAGGGACACACAAACAGAGCAGAAGCAGAAGGAUACCUGGGAAGGAUUAUUCACGCUCAACGUACGCAAGAAAACACACACACACACACACACACUCACACACACACACACACACACACACACACACACAAUAACACCUUGUACUUUAAGGAUUUUUUCUCAUGUUAUUUUUCAACAGAUAUAUUUUACUUAUUCAUGGUUUAAUUGUGUAUUACUGUAACAGCUUUGUUUAAUUAUAUGGUGUAAUGAUAAUGGGUUUUAUCUGCAGCUUCAACAAUUUUAAAUCGGCUUUGUAUUGUGUACUGAGUUUUAUUGUUUUCUUGUAAAUGUAUUCACCUGUAUGGGAUCGGUGUACCUAAACUGGGCCAGUUGUUGCUCAAUAUGCGAUAAUGUGACUAGAAUGACAUUGUAAACAACAACCAACUUUCCAGGACAUAGACAUGUCUUACAUGGGCAGAAAGCUUCUCAGCUUUAUGGGCUCCUGAGUGGUGCAGUGGUCUGAGGCACUGUAUCUCAGUGCAAAAGGCAUCACUACAGUUCCUGGUUCAAAUCCAGGCUGCAUCACAUCUGGUUGUGAAUGGGAGUACCAUAGAGCGGUGCACAGUUGUCCGGGGUAGGCCGUCAUUGUAAAUAAGAAUUUGUUCAUAACUUGACAUAUAAAAAAAUAUGAUGUCAUAUCCUCUCUGCAGGAGUUCUGAGAAGCUGGUUAGUACUGAUACUGUGUAUCACUUCCUCUUUAAUGUGGACAUGCAUGUCUAUGAUGGCCAAGUAAAGAAAAGUCAGACUUAUGAGCCAGGGUGUGAUAUUUACUGUGUCGAAUUCCAAGUAGAAACCUCCGUGUGCAUGACGACCAGUUCUCCCAUAUUGCCUCCUCAUACUACAGACAGGUCAUGACGAUUCAUGACAUUAGUGGUGUAUGACUAUUUUCUGUGUCCCUGCAUGGCCUGGAAGAUCACUGUUCCAGUUAGGGGGAUUAUGUGUCUAUGUGGUCAGAAAGACAGCUAGCAGCAAGGUCAUUGUCUCUGCUCCUGAGAAACAGAAACAGUUUACCACGUAAACCACAAGUCACAGGAAGUGACAUCACCACAAGAUGUUACCCGAAACAUAGAAGGGGGGACUUUGUCAGUAACCUGGGACCCACUACCGUUCUGAAACAGUUGACAGGGGUUUCAUGUCACUCAGCCACAUUGAUUUAUGAGCAUGCAGAAGAAGUCAUGCAAACACUUCUGCAGGCAUAUGAGGCCUAGAAGAAAACUAUAGAACUAUAGAAUGUGACUUCCUUUUCAACUAACAUACAAUAAUUAUUUAUAGAACAGCAGCCCUCAUCAAAAGGAGGUCUCUGCUCUUUCUCUGCUCUUCUCUAUGUGUUUUGGUUAGUCAACUGCUAGCUACCAGUGACAGUGAUAGAUAAGGACAUACAGCCAGUGGAAACAGUCAUACAACACCUUAAAGAGAUGUUUGGUUGUCCCUUCUCCUGCUUCUCCAAACAGGGAAUAAAAAAGUUUUGUAAAAAUAA
RNAcentral lists this long non-coding RNA (2078 nucleotides) under Salmo salar (Atlantic salmon). Its description in RNAcentral is "lncRNA (ENSSSAG00000091109.1)". Lineage: Eukaryota; Metazoa; Chordata; Actinopteri; Salmoniformes; Salmonidae. The record is from RNAcentral.